Molecule: long non-coding RNA, 2595 nt
Filed under: Sarcophilus harrisii (Tasmanian devil)
Lineage: Eukaryota; Metazoa; Chordata; Mammalia; Dasyuromorphia; Dasyuridae
Description: lncRNA (ENSSHAG00000029518.1)
Source: RNAcentral
CCCAGAUGGCAGAUUGACCAAUACAUGUUAAAUAUGUUAAAGUAUAGGUUAAAUACAAUAUAUGUAUACAUGUCCAAACAGUUAUUUUGUGGUACAAAAAGAAUCGGACUUUGAAAUAGUGUACAAUUAGCCUGUGAAGGAAAUCAAAAAUGGAGGUGAACAAAAAUAGAGGGAUUGGGAAUUUUAUGUAAUGGUUCAUAGUCAUCUCCCAGAGUUCUUUCGCUGGGUGUAACUAGUUUAAUUCAUUACUGCUCUAUUGGAUCUGAUUUGGUUCAUCUCAUUGUGAAGAAGGCGACGUUCAUCAGAAUUGAUCAUCAUAUAGAAUUGUUGUUGAAGUAUAUAAUGAUCUCCUGGUCCUACUCAUUUCACUCAGCAUCAAUUCAUGUAGGUCUCUCCAGGCCUUUCUGAAAUCAUCCUGUUGGUUAUUUCUUACAGAACAAUAAUAUUCCAUAAUGUUCAUAUACCACAAUUUAUUCAGCCAUUCUCCAAUUGAUGGGCAUCCACUCAAGUUUCUAGUUUCUGACCACUACAAAGAAGGCCGCCACAAACAUUCUUGCACAUACAGGCCCUUUUCCCUUCUUUUAAAUCUUUUUGGGAUAUAAGCCCAGUAGUAACACUGCUAGAUCAAAGGGUAUCCACAGUUUGGUAACUUUUUGAGCACAAUUCCAAAUUGCUCUCCAAAAUGGCUGGAUGUAUUCCCAAUUCCACUAACAAUGUAUCAGUGUCCCUGUUUUCCCAUAUCCCCUCCAACAUUCUGCAUUAUCUUUCCCUGUCAUUCUAGCCAAUCUGACAGGUGUGUAGUGGUGUCUCAGAGUUGUCUUAAUUUGCAUUUCUCUGAUUAAUAAUGACUUGGAGCAUCUUUUCAUAUGGCUAGAAAUAGUUUCAAUUUCUUCGUCUGAGAAUUGUCUGUUCAUAUCCUUUGACCAUUUAUCAAUUGGAGAAUGGCUUGAUUUCUUAUAAAUUAGAGUCCAAAUAUUUUGGAAAUGAGGCCUUUAUCCAAACCUUUGACUGUAAAAAUAUUUUCCCAAUUUAUGGCUUCCCUUCUAAUCUUGACUACAUUCGUUUUGUUUGUACAAAAACUUUUCAAUUUGAUAUAAUCAAAAUUUUCUAUUUUGUGAUCAGUAAGGAUCUCUAGUUCUUCUUUGUUCAUAAAUUCCUUCCUUUUCCACAGGUCUGAGAGGUAAACUAUCCUAUGUUCCUUUAAUUUGUUUAUAACCUCAUUCUUUAUGCCUAGGUCAUGAACCCAUUUUGACCUUAUCUUGGUGUACAGUGUUAAGUGUGUCAAUACUUAGUUUCUGCCAUACUAAUUUCCAGUUUUCCCAGCAAUUUUUGCCAAAUAGUGAGUUCUUAUCCCCAAAACUGCAGUCUUUGGUUUGUCAAACACUAGAUUAUUAAAGUUAUUGGCUGUUUUGUCCUUUGAAUUUAAUCUAUUCCACUGAUCAACUAGUCUAUUUCUUAGCCAAUACUAAAUGGUUUUGGUAACUGCUGCUUUAUAAUAUAAUUUUAGAUCUGGAACAGUUAGGCCACUUUCAUUUGAUUUUUUUUUCAUUAAUCCCUUGAAAUUCUUGACCUUUUGUUUUUCCAUAUGAACUUUGUUGUUAUUUUUUCUAGGUCAUUAAAAUAGUUUUUUGGCAGUCCGAUUGGUAUAGCGCUAAAUAAAUAGAUUAGUUUAGGUAGUAUUGUCAUCUUUAUUAUAUUUGCUUGCCCUAUCCAAGAGCAUUUAAUAUUUUUCCAAUUGGUUAGAUCAGAGUUAAUUUGUGUGGAAAGUGGUUUGUAGUGUUGCUCAUAAAGUUUCUGAUUUUCCCUUGGCAGAUAGAUUCGUAAGUAUUUUAUACUAUCAGUAGUUACUUUAAAUGGAAUUUCUCUUUGUAACUCUAACUGUUGGACUUUGCUAGUGAUAUAUAAAAAUGCUGAUGACUUAUGUGGGUUUAUUUUGUAUCCUGCAACUUUGCUAAAGGUGUGGAUUAUUUCUAAUAGCUUUUUAGUAGAAUCUCUGGGGUUCUCUAAGUAUACCAUCAUAUCAUCAGCAAAGAGUGAUAAUUUGGUUUCCUCAUUACCUACUCUAAUUCCUUUUAUCUCUUUCUCAACUUGUUUUGCCAAAGCUAGCAUUUCUAAUAUAAUAUUGAAUAGUAAUGGUGAUAAUGGGCAACCUUGUUUCAUUCCUGAUCUUAUUGGGAAUGGUUGCAGUUUAUCCCCAUUACAUAUAAUGUUUACUGAUGGUUUUAAAUAGAUGCUACUGAUUAUUUUAAGAAAAAGUCCAUUUAUUCCUAUACUCUCAAGUGUUUUUAAUAGGAAUGGAUGUUGGAUUUUAUCAAAUGCUUUUUCUGCAUCUAUUGAGAUUAUCAUAUGGUUUUUGUUAAUUUGGUUAUUAAUAUGGCCAAUUAUAAAAAAUAGCAUUUUCUGUGGCAUUGUUAUGAUAAGUAUGAUGCCAAGACAAAGGAAUUCUGCACUGGAAAAAGUACAGCUAGAGUAUUCUGUCAAAAACUUCUCUCUGAAAUUUAGAAGGACAUUUACAAAUAAGAAAUCACAUAGAAGAAGACAAGUAGAAAGGUAAAGAGACCUUUAGCCAAAUUAUAUGAAGAACUAGAGAUGUUU